GACGAACGCUGGCGGCGUGCUUAACACAUGCAAGUCGAACGAGAAUCUACUGAAAGAGUUUUCGGACAAUGGAUGUAGAGGAAAGUGGCGGACGGGUGAGUAACGCGUGAGGAACCUGCCUUGAAGAGGGGGACAACAGUUGGAAACGACUGCUAAUACCGCAUGACGCAUAGAGGUCGCAUGAUCUUUAUGCCAAAGAUUUAUCGCUAAGAGGUCGGCCCGCGGUAGAUUAGGCAGUUGGUGGGGUAAAGGCCUACCAAACCUACGAUCUAUAGCUGGUCUGAGAGGAUGAACGGCCACAUUGGGACUGAGAUACGGCCCAGACUCCUACGGAGGCAGCAGUGGGGAAUAUUGGGCAAUGGGGGAAACCCUGACCCAGCAACGCCGCGUGAAGGAAGAAAGGCCUUCGGGUUGUAAACUCUUUUACCAGGUACGAAGGACGUGACGGUACCU
This 453-nucleotide ribosomal RNA is filed under the name uncultured bacterium. Its description in RNAcentral is "bacterial SSU rRNA". It matches the Rfam family "Bacterial small subunit ribosomal RNA", at positions 28 to 480 of the family's 1533-position model. The record is from RNAcentral.